GGGCUGGUAGUUUAGUUCGGUAGAAUACACGGCUGGCAGCCGUGGGAUCCUGGGUUCAAAUCCCAGCCAGUCCA
This 74-nucleotide transfer RNA is filed under the name Candidatus Woesearchaeota archaeon. Its description in RNAcentral is "tRNA-Ala". It matches the Rfam family "tRNA". Rfam says of the family: Transfer RNA (tRNA) molecules are approximately 80 nucleotides in length. Their secondary structure includes four short double-helical elements and three loops (D, anti-codon, and T loops). The record is from RNAcentral. Lineage: Archaea; Nanobdellati; Candidatus Woesearchaeota.